Molecule: non-coding RNA, 105 nt
Organism: Streptomyces autolyticus
Lineage: Bacteria; Bacillati; Actinomycetota; Actinomycetes; Kitasatosporales; Streptomycetaceae
Source: Rfam
ACAUUCCGACAGGGGAGCGCUCAGAGCGCUGAGAGUGCGGCACGGCCGCAGACCCUCGGACCUGAUCCGGGUCAUACCGGCGUAGGGAGUCAGCAUCAUCAUGAA